Vespula vulgaris is the source of this 10718-nucleotide long non-coding RNA. RefSeq lists it as uncharacterized. The transcript is spliced from 2 exons. NCBI's taxonomy places the organism in Eukaryota, Metazoa, Arthropoda, Insecta, Hymenoptera, Vespidae. The record is from RefSeq and is a predicted model, not a curated record.
UUAAUAAACUCAAAGAGCUUAAAGUAUUUCUGACUCCAUAGAAAGCAUUUGGUCCGAUAUUUUGGAUCAAGUUCCUCUCAAGGUUGAGACCAGUCAAUGAGUCUAGUCCUUCGAAUGCUUUGACACCAGCUGACCCAGAGUGACCAGUUUCAAUCCAGCAAAGGCAUCAUCUGGAACUUUUGUAAUCUUGUUCAUCGAUAGAUCUAACACUGUAAGAUUCUUCAAAGUCUUCAACGUAUCAAUAGGUAUUUCUAUCAGCUCGUUAUCUUUCAGAUUAAGACUUUUCAAUGUAUUUUCUUGGCCUUUGAAUGCUUCAGGUUCAACUAUCGAAAUACGACAACCAGAUAAUUGUAUAUUAUUGAUUCUUAACGCUGAAAGAGAUCCAUUUUUUAAAGUACCAAUGGUACUGUUAUUAAUGUAAAAGAGAUCAACGGUGAUCUUUGAAGCGUAUCGCUUCAUAGCCGAGAGUAGCUGACUGUAAUCAACGAUGUCGCAUUGUACCGAAAGUUCUCUAGCAAGAUUGUAGUCACAAAUGCAGGAGUUUUCAAGUUCUGCGACGCUUUGAGCCCAAGGGCAGGCUGAGGUUGCAUUCACGAUGCAUAUCGUGCCUGUUAGAAGCAAUAACGUCUUGAUCGUAAGUGUAUCUGAAAAAAAAAAAAAGAAAAAAAUCAUUAAAGAUUUUUAUCUAUUUUUCGUAACAAAUUUUACAGUGUAAAAUAAUUUUUUCGUUGACUACAUUUUUGAUAGACAGAUAAUUUAAAUCAUUGAUUGAACUUUUUGCUAGAUAUAUCUAUGUCAAAAGUAUAUCAGGAGGAAAACGAGAUAUAUUACAUGUUCUACGAUUGUAGAAUCGUAUAAAAAUUCUAAGUUAGAUCAUCGCAAGUUGGUAAGACAGCUUUGGAAAAUCGUUGGCGACGAUGAAAACUGGACUCGUGCAGUCUUGAAAGGCUCGUAACGAAGCAGAGUCCAUAGGGCAUAGACCGAACCCGUUACGAGUCAAUGGCCGGAGUAUAUGCGUGUUCUCGGUUCAAUCUUCCUAUCGAUAGGACAUGAUAAUCGUAAAAAUUUAUUUUUUCUUUUUUAUGUCAUCGAGAACUUUUAAUGAAAAUAAGAUAGGUAGACUUACAGAGAAUGUCGUGAUUACAACGAUUAUGCAUUUUUUAAUGAAUGAAAUAGUUAAAUGAUUUGAUUACAAGUGUUUCUAAUUUUAAAUUGAUUUAAUGAAUUUAUGAUCUUUAUAAAUAGCAAAGAGAACCUGUUUGGAGAGUGUAUAUAUUAAAUAUUAAUUUUUAUCCAAUUUUUUUAUAUAUAUAUAUCAGAAUUCGAUAAAAAUAUAUAUAUAUCUCGGGUGAAAGUAAUCCAGUUUGGUCUUUUGGCACGCGAUCGCAUUUAGAUCAUUCAUAGCAAUUAGAACGGUCGAAGAUUUUCUUAGGACAGUUUCACUAUCUCUCACCAUUCUCACGUCUUCUUUCUCUCUCUUUACUUACGCAGAGCUAACUAGGAAAAGACCUAAUUUCGAUCUCUAUCUUGUUUCUCUUCUUUUCGAGUUGCUUAUUGCGUUAUCAAGCAACGCAACACGGUUUCAAACUUCGUACUUACAUACGUAUAUGGGGAGAAACAGAACAUUUCUUCGUUACUGAAAAUCAUUGCAGCGUGUAAGGAUCGCUCGUAAUACGCUCGUCGGUUCUGGUUUACACGCAUUCUGCCGAUCUAGUUGUAUCUUUAUUUCUUUUUAUUUCUUUAUUUUUGUUAUAACCCAUUGAACAGUUUUUAUUCAUCUCAUUUCCAUUGCCACGACAAAUGGUUAGAGUUGUAACUAUUUCUUUUUUGUUUUAAAUUAAUUACUCAUUUUAAUUAUUUUUUUAGUUUGUACGUUCGAUAUGUUAAUUAAUAAAAAUAUAAAGAUGUCGAUGAUUCGUCUAAGAUCUCCAAAAAUUUGAUUGAAUUUCGACCAACGCAAAAAUGAUACUUUUUGUUAUAAUAAUAAACUUUCUUGAACAGAGUCGGAUCGACUGACAAAAGAAAAUAAAUUCACAUGGAAAAGUAAAAAACGUCUGUGAGAAUAACUAAGAUACUUCCCGUUUCUAGUGCGAUGGAGUUAGGCGAUAGCUUUUAACCUGCUUUCGACUAGAACAAUUCUUAGACACAGUAAGUCACCUACAUUAAGCUCGAGCGUGUGCACAUUCCUUGCAUUCAUGCACAAUGAAUGGAGCUAUUUGGAACCUUUCACUCGUGCUUCACUUACGGAAGAAGAGCGACAAUCUGUCCCAGUUGUCUCUCAGAAUUAUCAUCACAUCAUAAUAUCUUAUUUAUUUUAUAUUUAUAAGUAAUCAUUGAGAGAAAUCUUAUAAUGCUAGACAUUCCUCAGGAUAUUACGUCAAAAAAAUUUCAUUUGGGUGUUCGUUCGUGGAUUAUAGUUAUUUAAAAUUCAAGGUGAACGUGUUCAUCGAAGAGAAAUUCGAAAUUUUGAACAUCGCGAUUGAAAGAUAAAUUUUAAUUUUACUUGGAGAGUUUGAAAAUAAAAAAAAAAAAAAAGAGAGAAAAUAGAAAUUUACUUCUACGUAUUUGUUAACACGAUCUAGAAAAUGUUAUUAUGUAUAUACACAUUAGGAUUUCUCCGGAAAUAGUUAGUAUUUGAAAAAUUGCUCUUCUCAUCAGUUUGGAUCUUCAUAGCAAAAGCACAAGAGCUACUGGCUAAGUUAAUUAAUUACUUAAAUCAAGUACCGUUGCAAUACGGAUCUUGGAAUACUUGUUAACGAGAGCAGAAUAAAAAUUAGCUUAAAUAACCGUAGAUUAUAUUAUAAUCUACUCUCAUACGAAUUAUAUAUAUAUAUAUCCGUCUUUGAUUACUAUACUCUCAUUUUUAGAUAGUAAAAAAAAAGAAAAGAUUUUUUAAGAAUAAAUUGUUUUUAAAUUUUCUUUAUACAUCUUUCUUUCUAAAUAAAUUCUAACGGAUUGUACACGGCACGUUUUUAUCGAAGCCGGAUUUGUUCGUUAAAUUAACCAUCAAGAUAUUCAUCUGUUACGCUCGUUAGCAGCAAACCAAUCUUGAUAGACACAUCAAUCGGUAAUUCGCGUGUUAACAUUAUCAGAGUAUGACCGGUUGAAGUUUUCUAGAGGUUGUGUUAGUGUCAGUGACCUUGGAAAUAUAUAAGCGAAGGUAUUUAUCGAGAUUAAAAAAGAAAAAGAUAUAUAUCAUUAUUAAAAUAUGUAUUAAUUCAUUUUCUAUUAACGAUUAUAGAAAGGAGACAGAAAAUGAGUUCAACGAAUUAAAUAUUAAUUUUGAAAGAAUCUUUCAAGUGUUGCAUCAUUUUCCGCACGAGAUCACAAAGUAAUGUUGAUCACAAAAUAAAAUAAGAGAUGAUCGUAUUACGUAGAAUGUUAUUGAACUUUCGGUAUAUGUGUGUGUGUAUAUACUAUAUCGAAAAGUGGUAUAUAAUAAUUGGCGGUAUCAUUAGUCUCAUCCCAUCUAGCGUAAAAAGAGGUAUUAGACUGCGAAACAAAAUAUAAUGAUUCUUUCACGAGUAAUUUGUAGUUAUUUUAUCAUUGAUCUUGUGAAUUCUUUUUUAUAUAUUCGAGGAUCAAAGAGAGGAAAAGAUAUCAUCGACGUUUAAUAAUCAUGUUAUUAAAAAUAUUCAAAAAAAAAAAAAUAGAAGAAGAAUGAAAGUGAUGGAAAUGUAGAUUCUUACAAUUAAGCGAUUUCUAAUGCAGUGUGAUUAGGAACGAUCUUAGAAUUUAUUCUUGUUUCGAAGUCUUUAGAAUUUUCUAUAGUUUGGAGAUUAGAUUGAUUGAAAUAUACGCGUAUAGUACACAUGCACAGGGUGCAACUAACUUGCUUAGGAAUCUAAGCCUUUCACUUUCGUUCUCUUUUGACUAUUCGUCUCUCUCUCUCUCUUUCUUUCUUUCUCUCUUUCUCUUUUAUUUUUCCUUCUUUCUUUCAACGCAAGAUCGAAAUGUAUGAUAAAGAUUUCUGCUAGAUGUACUAAGAGUAUAUUAGAAUGAGUCGAUAUAGUGGUUCGAUUAACUCUGAUUUGUGGCUAACAAUAUUUAUCUUUCCUUACAAUCGACUCUCGCACAGUUCUCACGCUAAUGUUCUGCUUUUGUUUUUUCUUUUCUAUUUUUGUACUUCUAUAUACUUUUUUUAAGGAUCUAACACAUGCACUUAUCACGUUCGUAUUGUCCUGUUUCGUUCGAAAUUAACUUAUGACCUUCUCUCCAUCUGUUUAUGUUAAUCAUUUAAAUGACAUUAAAAUAAAUUCGAAUAAAUAAGAAUUCUUGAAAUUCUUGAACGGGAUCUAUGUGAGAGUAGUUCGAUGAAUAUGUUAGAAGGUGUUGGUGAAUCCUUGCAUUGGUUGCGUAAAUUCUCUUACGUCUACCAUUCAUCUCGAACGCUAUACGAGAAAGUGGAAGAGAUUUCUCGAGUCGAAUCGAAUUUUUAAAUACUUCUUGCGAGUCCUCAGGAAUAACGUAUUACGUUUCUAGUUAUUUCUUUUUUGUCAGUGCUAUGAUUUUAUUUUUAUUUUUUAUUUUUUAUUAUUAUUUUUUUAAUCUCUGAGAUAAAUUCGUUCUCCUUCCAAGUAAAUGCAUUCAUUCUUUUUUUUUUGUACAUUCUUUCGUUCACGUUCAUGAUCACUUCUAUACUUGGAAACGAACAAUGGAGAAAUUGCACCGUAUACGUAAAUAAAAAAAAAACGAAUGAGGCAUCGUCUUGUAUGAUAGUAAUUUUUAAAAGAGAAAUUUAAUGAUGAAAGAAUAAAGAAAAAAGUUAAGAAGAGAUUUGUAUAUAUAUAUAUGUAUCUGUGUAUAAGUUCUUUCAAAAACAGACAAAUCAGAAUAUUGUGAGCAGCAUUAUACUACUUACAUCCUGUGCGCUCAUUCUUUUCAUCUCGCAUGCAAUCCGCGUAAACUAAUGGAAUAAAUUAAUCUACGGAAUUUCUUGCCUGUAGAAUGAGUGGAUUUCUAAUCGCGUGCAUUAUCUUCAUGACCGAACGAAAGACAUUUUUUCUUUCUUUCUUUUUUCUCUUUUUUUAUUUAAAUCCUAUACAUGUUUUCAAAUGUAGAAAUCAGAUACAAGUUGUGUGUCACGAUCGUUUACUUAGAUCCUUUUCUUUCGAUAAGUAAUUUAAUUAGCUUGUGUUCUAUCAGAGUAUUCAGUAGAUUCCUAAUGAAUGAUUUAUUUUUAUCUUUUUUUAAGAAAAUUUAAUAUAAACUAUUUAGUAUAAUAUAAUUGAGCGUGCAAUAUGUACAAUAUUCCAUAGACUGUCUUCUCUCUCGACCUACCAAACUUUCCAUAUGUUCGUAACGGUCCCAGCUUACCAAUCGGCACAGUAUGCUAACCGACUAUCUAAGUACUGUUACCUGCUCCAUCUCGAAAAACGCAUACACGCGAGGAACGUGUUGGCAAACAAGGAACUCUUUUCAUAUGUGACGAUCCUACCAACGUCGAUAUCUUAGCAAAUACAUUUAUAAGAAGAAAUUUCAUGGCAAGAGAGAAAUCAGUAUCUUAUGACUGUAUGAUAAUAAUUUUUUUAGCGAUUAGAAUAGAAUUUCAUUAAUCUAAUAAAUUUUUUUCUAAACUAGUAUAUAAUUUCAAUGUUGUUGUUGUUGUUGUUGUUAUUAUUAUUACUAUUAUUAAUAGUAGUAGUAGUAGUAGUAGUAAUAGUAGUAAUUAAUCUGUGCAUAUUUGAUUACUAGACGUCUCUUGUUGUUAUUAAUAUUGUUAAUAGUUGAUAAUUUAGUCUCUCUCUCUCUCUCUUUCAAUUAUAAUUAGAAUUGAUCAUCGUUUUGCGAAUAGUUUCUAAACUUGGUAGUAUUAUUCAGUAGGUUUCAAAUAUUCAAGUAGUAUGUAUAUGUUUAAGUCAUCGUAAGAUGUAGCGCGGAUGUGCAUCAAAGUGGCUCAUGAACAGAGUACACCAUGCAUGCAAAUUAGUAACGAAGUCCUCGUUUUCUUUACCGUUUUGCGAUUUAUUCACGAAAAAAGAAAAAAAAAUAGAAUUAUUUAAACAUUUACUUAUCUUAUUUAUUUACUUGUUAAUAAAUAUAUAAAAUGGAACAGUAUUGAUUCGAUUUGUUUGAUCGAAAUAACGAAAUUGAUAUCGAUCGAAUUAUUUUUUAGAAACAAAUAACAAUUUCAAUUUCAUUUUUUUGGAGUCAGAAAAUUAAUAAAAGUUACCUAAGCUAAUAAAUUAUUCGAGAUCGAAAUAAAAAAAAAAUGGGAAAUGAGAUAGGUCGCAAAUCAUUUUUAAAAUAGAGAUAACAAUAUCGAUCGUUGUUCCAGUCGGUCUCGCUUCGUCGACACUCGCUUUUCUCUCGAGAAUGUCUGGUAAAUCGAGAUAUCGAACAGGUUUCAAAGUUCUCCGACAAAUUCGAGUGUCUUGUUUCUACUAUACGACACGAUGCCGAUGCCGUCGAAUUCAACGAUGCGAAACAUUUAUUUUCGCGCCAACGAACGUUUUCCGAAUCGAUGGAGAAUCGAUUGUCACUCUUCUUCUUUUUUUUCUUCUUUUUUUCUUUUUGAUGUUAAAUAGACCGAGAUCGAAUCAAGAAUCGAAAAUCGAUUCGAUAGAAUAGUUUUUAUUUAGAUGCAUUAGAAAUAUCUGAGACAAAAUUUUUUCUUCGUUAGAAAAAAUAAUAUCUAAUUAUUUAUGUGAAACAUUUUAUUUUAAAUAUCGUUUAUUUAUGCAUUAUUAUACAAGAUGGGCCUGAAGUUCAUAGAUGAUUUUAUAAAUCUAUUCCUUUUUUAUAUACAAUUUCUGAUAACAAUAUUUGAUAUUUAAUUUAUGAACAAAAUAGAUUGCUUAGAUUUAUCACUAGGUGUGUUGACUUACAUAAGUAUAGAUAAAACUCUUGCACAUAUAAUUCUCUUUAUUUCUCCAUUUGCAAUUCUUUUUUUUUCUCUUUUUUCAUAAACUUGCAUCAUACUCGUAGAAUCUAAGACUAAUGCACUUGCACCCGUUAUCUCGAACGAAACGGAUUGGAAAGUGCUAUAACGAAUUGACGGAUAGAAAACGUUCAAUAAUUUUAACAGAGUGUAUGUUUUAUUAUCUUCAAAAAUUAUAGAUGUAGAAAAAAAAAGAAAAAAGACAUAUUUGAUUUGACAUUAUAAAUUAGAUUAUAACUUCAUUCGCAUAAAAAUCACGAUUGGCCUAAUACGGCUUUUUACAAUACAUUCUUAGAACAUUUCGUAAGCAUUACUGUGAAGAAGAUGACGUUCGUUUCGUAUUUCUCAAGCCUGUAGAAAUUAAUUACACAAUACCAAAUCGCAACACACAUGCGAGUUCGUAAUAUAAAAGAAAUGACACGUGAACGAUUUUUUUGAUCGUUCGUCAAUAAAAAUAGUCCUUAAAAAUUGACAACGUUUACAUUUUAACACCUUGAGUAUUAGUUCAUCAUUACAUUCUUAAAUAAAAUGUCUUUUUUUUUUCUUUUUAAACAAAAUAAAAGUGUCUUCUCAUAGCGCUAAAUCUCGUUCUAAUCAUAAAAAGAGAAAAUUUAUCCAUCAAAAAGAUAACUUUUCCUUAGACAACAUCGUUUUGAAAUCGUUAAUAUAUCUCUGUUUUAUUAGAGAAAGAGAGACAUACAUUUAUUAAAUUCUAAAACAGUAGAGCUAAACAUUAGUAUCGAAAGUAGUCAUAUUAGAUACCUUUUACGUUCCUCAUCUUACGUUAAUGAAAGGAACGUAAACCGGUUUAUCAUAACUGAUAUUAUAAAAAUUAGAUUAAAAAAAAGGAAUGUUAAUAAGAAAUGUAUUUAGUGAUAUAUGCGACAAAAAAAAAAAGAAAAAGAAAUGAUUUCCUUCGAAACUAGUACGGUACACAACGAAAGAGGAUAUUGCGAGGCAGGACACGAAAUAUCAUUCGUCUCUUAAGUCCAUUCAUUUUGUUGUUCCACAUAUCUCUCUUUCUUUAGUCAUUCGUGUGAGAAAUCUGUGUCGAUACUUCUUAACUCUAAUAAGUAUUGCUCUCGUAUUCGUAUUCAUAUUUGCUCGUUGGCAUACAAAAUCAUGUGAAUUAAUAGGAUAUUCAGAAUAAAAGAAAAUAAAUAAAUCAAUAAAUAAACGAUAUUCUAAAUAAUCAAAAUAUCUCCCGACGUAUAAAUAAUUAUGAUCUUUUUUCCUUUUUUUUGUUCUAUCCUUUCACUCGCGAAAAAGUCUAAUUAUAUGUUUUAUUAUGUUCUUUUAUUUUGAUGGUAACUCAUGGGAGGAUCAUUGAACAAUAGGAAAAAUGUGGAGAGACGAUGUUAAUACAAAAAUGAAGAGAUUGAAAUAAAAAGAAAGAGAAAGAAAGAAGGAUGUAAUGUAGUAGGGGAAGGGGUUAAUUAUAGGUUGAAAAAGUUGUCAAGUUAACAACGUAACUAGUAUUCUUUGAGUGAACCGGAACUGUUAAACUUCACACCAUAGAUAAGAUUGUAUAUGUAUGCAAUUGUUUUAUUCCGGUGAAACGCUUCUUCCGGUUAUAUAAAUGUUCUCGUGAAUUAUUUGGACGGUAGUUUGAGAUAAUCACGUGUGGAAAUCAUGCGUGAAUUCGUUGCAAUUAAAUCGACUUCUUUGCUUUUGCUUAUAUAAUGAUAAUUAUGUAAUCAAGUGAACAGUCAUUAGAGAGAUUAAGAUUAAGAUCGAUCGAUCUAUCGAAAUAGAUCUCUGAUUUUCGUUUUAUUCGUAAAAUAAAAUUAAAAUGAAAGGCUUAUGAUUUUAUCUGAACUUUUUUUUCUAAAUCUGAUAGAUAAAUUAUUUUCGUUAUAAUUUAGAGAUUAAGUUCGAUCUUAAUCGUAAAAAAAUAUUUCUAAUUUUGCACUUAAUUCAUUUUAUAGAUCGUUGAAAAGCGAUUUCUUUUUCAUCUUUUAAAAAUUUAAAAAGAUCUAUCGAUCGAUUUGUCAACCUAAUUAUUUAGCUUAUGCCCAUGCAUCCAUCGGUAUCCGUAAUUACGUUGGUAGUCUCACGACGGAAGUUAAGAAGCGGUUCCGGAAAUGAGAGCUCCGACGUUCUCGACUAACUCUGUUUCCUUCGGCCUUACCGAGAUGUGGGUUAGCAUUGGGUCAUAGCAAAGUUCAAAGGAUUCUUCACGAUAUCACCGUUUAAAAUAGUAAUAUUCAAACUUAAAAUUAUUAGAGAUCGACGGAAUAUUUUUUCUAAAUUUUUAAGUCCAGUUUAUUAGUGCAAUACAUUUUUUAUUUUAUUGUAAAAAGAAUAACUGGUUGUAACUGUAGUUUGCGAACCACUGGAUUUGCAGGAAGCUUUCGAAUUAGAAAACAAAUUUUCUUUUUUCUUAUUUGACGUUGAAUCGAGUUUCGAUCGUAGAAAAACGUAACAUCGAAAAUUAUUAGCUCGUGUUUAGUUUUUUAUUCUCUUAUCGAGUAAGCUUUUGCCGGUUGAACGUUCGAUAAACUCUUCAUCCCUUUCACGUUAUUGUUUAACGUGAAAUUCGACGAGUUCAUAGAACGCAAUAAAUGUUAGAAAUUUAUUCUCAAUCGAUUAUUAUUAAGGAUACGCAGAAUAUACGUUUAGAUACGGUUAUUUCCUUUCGAUAUCGUUGAAAGUAAAACGCGUAUUGCGAAUGUGAUUUUGAUUAUUUUUCUUUUUAUAAGUAAUAACUAUUUUGUGAGCCGGAACAAAAGAAAGUUAUAUUGCAGACUAUGUUUUUUUAAAACGUAUACGCAAUAAAAGAAAAAGUGAAAGAAUGUUAGAAGAUAUUAGAAAUAUAAUAAUGUCUUGAAUAAAAAUAAAGUAUCUAGGAACUUUUGGCUCUCACCUUAGAUUUCUUUAUAAUUAUAUUUAAUAAUAUAUUUAUAAAAAAAUAAGUUCUUUUAAAUAUAGAUCUGUAUAAAAAUUUUUCUCUUCCUCUCUCUCUCUCUUUUUUUUCUUAAGCAAAAUUAUAUUUUAUAAAGUUUUUUGUUUAUUCUAAAUAUUCAAAAGAGAUAUUGUUUAAUAUAUAGAGAAUGCAUAUCGAACGUUCCUCGUGGUUGCAAUAAACUUAGAAAAAUGAAUUCCUGUACUUUCAACAUUCACUUUUGCGGCUGAUCAGCCGUACUAUGCGAGAAACGCGACCGCAAAACGCAACCCUGGCCACACGAAGGGGGCGAGUACAACACCUUUCUAAACAAGAUCUAAUAAAUUUUCUAUUCUCGAAUGAGAACUUAGAAGAAUCAUAGAAAGGAAAAAAAAUGGUUGAAACAAACCACUAAAAGGCUACGAUUACACCGCAAAGAAAACGUUCGAUGACUGAUCGAUGUAUAAACAAAUUUAUUUCUUUUUUAUUAUUACUAUUAUUAUUAUUAUUAUUAUUAUUAUCGAUCUCUCGAAACAUAUGACCGCAGUUCCAUAUUAUUGAAUUUUUCUAUUUCCUUAUUGUUAUCACGAUGAAAUUAAUAUAACAAUUUUUCUCUCCUCUAAAUUCAAUCGAGAUGAAAUUAUAAAAAUGAUGUUAAAUUAUAUCUAAAUAUAUCUCAACAGAGUAUCUAUAUCAUUUGUUACAUUAUUGUAUUAUGUAAAUUAAAAGAAUGUACGUGCACAGGUGUUUUCAAUCCAAUGACGCGAAACUUUCACUAACACGACCGGUUGUUACUUUUUCAUUCUUUAAACCAUAAGCUGAGAUUUAGAUCAUGAUUUGAUUCUUUUUAAGAUGUUUUAUAUAUCAACUUGUUUAUUAAUCGCAACGAUUAGAUCCUUAAAAUUCUGACAAAAAAUAAAAUCGCAAAUAAAUUUCUCACAUUUAUCUUAUAAA